CCUACGGGUGGCAGCAGUGGGGAAUAUUGCACAAUGGGGGGAACCCUGAUGCAGCGACGCCGCGUGGGUGAGGAAGUACUUCGGUAUGUAAAGCCCUAUCAGCAGGGAAGAAAAUGACGGUACCUGACUACGAAGCACCGGCGAAUUACGGUCCAGGAGCCGCGGUAAUACGUAGGGGGCAAGCGUUAUCCGGAUUUCCUGGGGGUAAAGGGAAUGUAGAUGGCGUGCCAUGUCUGAUGUGAAAGGCCGGGGCUCAACCCCGGGACUGCAUUGGAAACUGGCCUGCUGGAGUGCAGGAGGGGAAAGCGGAAUUCCUAGUGUAGCGGUGAAAUGCGUAGAUAUUAGGAGGAACACCGGUGGCGAAGGCGGCUUGCUGGACGGAAACUGACGUUGAGGCUCGAAAGCGUGGGGAGCAAACAGGAUUAGAUACCCCUGUAGUC
This 440-nucleotide ribosomal RNA is filed under the name uncultured bacterium. RNAcentral's name for it is "partial 16S ribosomal RNA". It matches the Rfam family "Bacterial small subunit ribosomal RNA", at positions 338 to 795 of the family's 1533-position model. The record is from RNAcentral.